RNAcentral lists this ribosomal RNA (1539 nucleotides) under Colletotrichum salicis. Its description in RNAcentral is "SSU rRNA". It matches the Rfam family "Bacterial small subunit ribosomal RNA". The record is from RNAcentral. Lineage: Eukaryota; Fungi; Ascomycota; Sordariomycetes; Glomerellales; Glomerellaceae.
AUAUAAAUGAGUUUGGUGAUGGCUCUGAAUGAAUGCUGUCCAAAUGCUUGACACAUGCUAAUCGUACGAUUAAUAUAAUGAAUAAUUUAAUUAAUAAGUGGUGUACAGGUGAGUAUAUGAUAUUUUCACUACCUUAAAGUGAGGGAUAAAAUACCACAUAAUAAUAAAGGCAAAAGCCGCUUUAGGAAGAAGAUUAAUAUCGUCGAGAGAGGUAGUAGUAAAGGUAAUGUCUUCACUAGCUUUAAAAUCUCGUAACCGUAACUGAAAGGUUGAUCGGUCACAUUGGGUCUGAAAAAAGCCCAAUGCAAAAUUAGUACAGCAGUGGGGAAUUUUGGUCAAUGGCCUAACGGCUGAACUGGCAAUUUGGGGAAACGAAACAGAAUUGUUUAUACAAAAAUAAAGUUUUAAGUACGUAUUAAUAAUGAUAAUAUGUAUACUAGUCUUGACCAAUUACGUGCCAGCAGUCGCGGUAAUACGUAAGAGACGAGCAUUAUUCAUAUUAAAUAGGUUUAAAGGGUACCCAGACGGUCAAAAUACCUUAACUAAAAGGAGUACUUGACUAGAGUUUUAUGUGAGAAGACCGUACUUGAGGUGGAGAGAUUAUAUUCUGUGAUACCAAGGGGACUGAUAAGGGCGAAAGCUGUCUUUUAUGUAAUAACUGACGUUGGAGGACGAAGGCAUAGAACACGAACAGGAUUUGACACCCUAGUAGUCUUUGCAGACAAUGAUGAAUGCCAUAGAAUAGUCGCUAAAAUAGCAACUCGUAUAACCGGCAGCCAUGAGCGUGUAGCACUAUCUAGGAUGCGAGUGUAGUUUAAGCAGAAUUAGUCUAUAAAUGAAAAUGAAAGCAUUUCACCUCAAGAGUAAUGUGGCAACGCAGGAACUGAAAUCACUAGACCGUUUCUGACACCAGUAGUGAAGUAUGUUAUUUAAUUCGAUGAUCCACGAAAAACCUUACCACAACUUGAAUAUUUAGCAAUAGAUACAGGAGUUGCACGGCUGUUUUCAGUUAAUGUUGUGAAACUGUGGUUCUUCCAUGGAAUUAACGGAAUCCUUUGCUUUAUUUAUAAAAAGUUUUAUAAAGCAAUCUUUCUUUAUAGCGGAAAAGAUAAAAAGGAAAAAGACAAGUCAUCAUGGCCCUUAUGUUGUGGGCUAUAGACGUGCCACGUAGUCCUUAACAAAGAGAUGCGAAAAUGCGAAUUUUAGCUAAUCUCAAAAAAGAGGAUAUAAAUUAUACAAGGAUUGUAGUCUGAAAUUCGACUAUAUGAAUAAGUAAUUACUAGUAAUCGUGAAUCACCAUGUCACGGUGAAUUAAAUCUCGGAUUGGUACUAACCACUCGUCGCAUGCUGAAAGGAGCUUACGCAAUAAGUUUGCUAUUUUGUUAUAAUCUCUUUUAUAAAUUGGAUUAAAAUAUUAUAAUGGAAUUCUUCGUAUGCGUGACUCUGAUUAGUGUUAAGUCGAAAUAUGGUUCGUGUAGUGGAAGUUGCACGGGGUUUAUAAACCUAAAAAAUAUAAUAUAUUAGGUGCUGCUUAUCGUA